AUUAUGGAGAGUUUGAUCCUGGCUCAGGACGAACGCUGGCGGCGUGCCUAAUACAUGCAAGUCGAGCGGAGUUGUUUAGGAGCUUGCUCCUGAAUAACUUAGCGGCGGACGGGUG
This 115-nucleotide ribosomal RNA is filed under the name Cohnella terricola. RNAcentral's name for it is "Bacterial small subunit ribosomal RNA". It matches the Rfam family "Bacterial small subunit ribosomal RNA", at positions 1 to 108 of the family's 1533-position model. The record is from Rfam by way of RNAcentral. Lineage: Bacteria; Bacillati; Bacillota; Bacilli; Caryophanales; Paenibacillaceae.